RNAcentral lists this ribosomal RNA (433 nucleotides) under uncultured bacterium. Its description in RNAcentral is "partial 16S ribosomal RNA". It matches the Rfam family "Bacterial small subunit ribosomal RNA", at positions 29 to 507 of the family's 1533-position model. The record is from RNAcentral.
AACGAACGCUGGCGGCAUGCCUAACACAUGCAAGUCGAACGAGACCUUCGGGUCUAGUGGCGCACGGGUGCGUAACGCGUGGGAACCUGCCCUUAGGUUCGGAAUAACUCCCCGAAAGGGGUGCUAAUACCGGAUAAUGUCUUCGGACCAAAGAUUUAUCGCCUUUGGAUGGGCCCGCGUUGGAUUAGCUAGUUGUUAGGGUAAAAGCCUACCAAGGCGACGAUCCAUAGCUGGUCUGAGAGGAUGAUCAGCCACACUGGGACUGAGACACGGCCCAGACUCCUACGGGAGGCAGCAGUGGGGAAUAUUGGACAAUGGGCGAAAGCCUGAUCCAGCAAUGCCGCGUGAGUGAUGAAGGCCUUAGGGUUGUAAAGCUCUUUUAACCGGGAUGAUAAUGACAGUACCGGGAGAAUAAGCUCCGGCUAACUCCGUG